AAGAAGAACGCAGAGAAAUGCGAUAAGUAAUGUGAAUUGCAGAAUUCAGCGAAUCAUCGAGUCUUUGAACGCACAUUGCGCCCUAUGGCUAUUCCGUAGGGCAUGCCAGUCUCAGCGUCAGCAGAAACCCAUCAGGCCAGGCUUUUAAUGUCAGGCCUGGAUUUUGUCAGAGAGGCAUGGAGGCGACAGCCCUCAUGCCCUCUGUAAAGCAAUGGAUAUCUUGGAGAUUUGUUGUCAUCCCAGCGUGAUAGAAAAUUUCGUUCGUUGGGCAAAAUGAUUCUUCAAAAAGGUCCAGAAAGCCCCAUUUUUCUAAGAGACUUGACCUGAGAU
Molecule: ribosomal RNA, 330 nt
Filed under: Delastria rosea
Lineage: Eukaryota; Fungi; Ascomycota; Pezizomycetes; Pezizales; Pezizaceae
Description: eukaryotic LSU rRNA
Rfam family: 5.8S ribosomal RNA (bases 1-120)
Source: RNAcentral